RNAcentral lists this ribosomal RNA (492 nucleotides) under uncultured bacterium. RNAcentral's name for it is "partial 16S ribosomal RNA". It matches the Rfam family "Bacterial small subunit ribosomal RNA", at positions 29 to 507 of the family's 1533-position model. The record is from RNAcentral.
AGUGAACGCUGGCGGUAGGCCUAACACAUGCAAGUCGAACGGCAGCACAGUAAGAGCUUGCUCUUACGGGUGGCGAGUGGCGGACGGGUGAGGAAUACAUCGGAAUCUACUUUUUCGUGGGGGAUAACGUAGGGAAACUUACGCUAAUACAGCAUACGACCUACGGGUGAAAGCAGGAGAUCUUCGGACCUUGCGCGAUUCAAUGAGCCGAUGUCGGAUUAGCUAGUUGGCGGGGUAAAGGCCCACCAAGGCGACGAUCCGUAGCUGGUCUGAGAGGAUGAUCAGCCACACUGGAACUGAGACACGGUCCAGACUCCUACGGGAGGCAGCAGUGGGGAAUAUUGGACAAUGGGCGCAAGCCUGAUCCAGCCAUACCGCGUGGGUGAAGAAGGCCUUCGGGUCGUAAAGCCCUUUUGUUGGGAAAGAAAAGCAGCAGGUUAAUACCUCGCUGUUCUGACGGUACCCAAAGAAUAAGCACCGGCUAACUUCGUG